CAGUGUGAAAACUGGGCAAUAGAUUGUGUACAGGUGGAAGGCGGGGCAGAGCUGUGAUUGGGUGCAUCUUGGCCCACCCAAUCAGAAGCGCCACAGUUUAGAGGAGGGUGGUGGAGAUGGCCACGCCCACACAGUCUGAGAAGAUGUCCAAUCAGCCGAAAUAAUGCAACUCACCUGUGUGGGUUAGCCAUAGCUGCGCAUGGCUUUUCAAUGCAAAUGAUGUGGGUAAAGAAUACAUGCUCGUUCUCUUCUUAAUUUACUAACGCUUGACACAUAUCACAUACAGU
Molecule: long non-coding RNA, 287 nt
Organism: Acanthopagrus latus (yellowfin seabream)
Lineage: Eukaryota; Metazoa; Chordata; Actinopteri; Spariformes; Sparidae
Exons: 2
Source: RefSeq, a predicted model, not a curated record